GCGCCUGUAGCUCAACUGGAUAGAGCGCGUGGCUUCGGACCAUGAGGUUAGGGGUUCAAGUCCCUUCAGGCGCAC
RNAcentral lists this transfer RNA (75 nucleotides) under Microgenomates group bacterium ADurb.Bin219. RNAcentral's name for it is "tRNA-Arg". It matches the Rfam family "tRNA". From Rfam's summary of the family: Transfer RNA (tRNA) molecules are approximately 80 nucleotides in length. The record is from RNAcentral.